This 1132-nucleotide ribosomal RNA is filed under the name Microsporidium sp. BPAR3. Its description in RNAcentral is "SSU rRNA". It matches the Rfam family "Microsporidia small subunit ribosomal RNA", at positions 63 to 1131 of the family's 1311-position model. The record is from RNAcentral. Lineage: Eukaryota; Fungi; Microsporidia.
AAGCAUUAAUUGUGGACCAACGAACAGCUCAGUAACACAGUUAUAAUUUACUCGUAGAUCAAAGGAUAACCAUGGUAAGCUAUGGUUAAAACAAGAAUUAGUGGUUUUCUAAUAGGAAACAACAAAGAAAAACUCUACGACUAAGUUUCUGGCCUAUUAGCUAGUAGGUAGUGUAAGGGACUACCUAGGCUGUGAUGGGUAACGGGAAAUGAUCGUUUGAUACCGGAGAGGGAGCCUGAGAAAUAGCUCCCACGUCUAAGGAUGGCAGCAGGCGCGAAAAUUACCCAAUGCAAGUAGUGAGGUAGUUAAGAGGCGUGCAAUUUGCACAAGUUAACAGUAAAGAAGUUAACGGAAACUGGAGGGCAAGUCUGGUGCCAGCAGCCGCGGUAAUUCCAGCUCCAGAAGCGCAUAUGACCGUUGCUGCAGUUAAAAAGUUCGUAGUUUGAGCACAUGCUUGCGAGUAAAAUACAUUACUUAAAGAUGUAAUUAGCGCAACUAGUGUCUAGAUAGGAACAGGAGAAGGUGGUUGUAUUGGGUAGCGAAAGGUGAAAAUUGCAGACCUACUCAGGACAAACAGAAGCGAAAGCGGCCAUCUAGAAUGUAUCCGUUAAUCAAGAACGUAAGCUGGAGUAUCGAAAAAGAUUAGACACCUUUGUAGUUCCAGCUGUAAACUAUGCCGACUAGGUGAGAGAAAUAUUCUUGUGCCUUAGGAGAAAUCAAGAGUUUGUGGGCUCUGGGGAUAGUACGAUCGCAAGAUUGAAACUUAAAGAAAUUGACGGAAGGACACCACAAGGAGUGGAGUGUGCGGCUUAAUUUGACUCAACACGCGAAAACUUACCAAGACCAAAUCGGAAGAGAAAGUCAUAACAGAGUUAUUACUUGAUACCGACAAAAGUAGUGCAUGGCCGUUUUCAACACGUGGUGUGAACUUAUGGUUAAUUCCAUCAACGCGUGAGGCCUCUUAAACGGAUAGCGUCAAGCUAUAGGAAGUGAGGCUAUAACAGGUCAGUGAUGCUCUUAGAUGUUUUGGGCUGCACGCGCACUACAAUUGCGACACGAAGGGAACCGAAAGGUUUUAUAUAAAGGUCGAUAUUAGCAGGGAUAAACCGUUGUAAAUCGGUUUUGAACAAGG